Mauremys reevesii (Reeves's turtle) is the source of this 314-nucleotide long non-coding RNA. RefSeq lists it as uncharacterized. The record is from RefSeq and is a predicted model, not a curated record. Lineage: Eukaryota; Metazoa; Chordata; Testudines; Geoemydidae. The transcript is spliced from 3 exons.
GCUGAAUGGACAGUGUGAGACAGUUGGAGGGAGGAACUUGAGACAUGGAAAGCCUUGCAGGGGCAACAAGUAGUCCAGAAUAUGCUGAAUUGAAGAACAGGUUGGUGAUACUCCAUACUGGCUAGACCAGAAGGAAAAAACAUCUCCACUUUGAGAGGAAGACUCUUUUUCUUUACCUUCAGGGUGACUGAGUAAAUGGCUGAAGUUAGUCGGCUGUGUAAAAUGCAAUGUUUGAGCUUGGCACGAGAACCAGGGGAAAUAAAUCAACAAAACACAACACAACAACCCAAUGAUUAUUGUGGGAUGUUUUGCUU